AGAACGAACGCUGGCGGCAUGCCUAACACAUGCAAGUCGAACGAGACCUUCGGGUCUAGUGGCGCACGGGUGCGUAACGCGUGGGAAUCUGCCCUUAGGUACGGAACAACUCAGGGAAACUUGUGCUAAUACCGUAUGAUGUCGAGAGACCAAAGAUUUAUCGCCUAGGGAUGAGCCCGCGUAGGAUUAGCUAGUUGGUGGGGUAAAGGCCUACCAAGGCUACGAUCCUUAGCUGGUCUGAGAGGAUGAUCAGCCACACUGGGACUGAGACACGGCCCAGACUCCUACGGGAGGCAGCAGUGGGGAAUAUUGGACAAUGGGCGAAAGCCUGAUCCAGCAAUGCCGCGUGAGUGAAGAAGGCCUUCGGGUUGUAAAGCUCUUUUACCGGGAAGAUAAUGACUGUACCGGGAGAAUAAGCCCGGCUAACUCCGCGCCAGCAGCCGC
RNAcentral lists this ribosomal RNA (444 nucleotides) under uncultured bacterium. RNAcentral describes it as "SSU rRNA". It matches the Rfam family "Bacterial small subunit ribosomal RNA", at positions 26 to 518 of the family's 1533-position model. The record is from RNAcentral.